RNAcentral lists this ribosomal RNA (254 nucleotides) under uncultured bacterium. Its description in RNAcentral is "partial 16S ribosomal RNA". It matches the Rfam family "Bacterial small subunit ribosomal RNA", at positions 524 to 776 of the family's 1533-position model. The record is from RNAcentral.
UACGUAGGGGGCGAGCGUUGUCCGGAUUCAUUGGGCGUAAAGAGCUAGUAGGCGGUUUGGCAAGUCGGGUGUGAAAUCUCCGGGCUCAACUCGGAGAGGCCACUCGAUACUGCUAUGACUAGAGUCCGGUAGGGGACUAUGGAAUUCCUGGUGUAGCGGUGGAAUGCGCAGAUAUCAGGAGGAACACCAAUAGCGAAGGCAGCUCGCUGGGACGUUACUGACACUGAGGCGCGAAAGCGUGGGGAGCGAACAGG